RNAcentral lists this ribosomal RNA (253 nucleotides) under uncultured bacterium. Its description in RNAcentral is "partial 16S ribosomal RNA". It matches the Rfam family "Bacterial small subunit ribosomal RNA", at positions 524 to 776 of the family's 1533-position model. The record is from RNAcentral.
UACGGAGGGUGCAAGCGUUAUCCGGAUUUACUGGGUUUAAAGGGUGCGUAGGUGGGUAGGAGAGUCAGUGGUGAAAUCUUCGGGCUUAACCCGGAAACUGCCAUUGAUACUAUUUAUCUUGAAUACUUUGGAGGUAAGCGGAAUAUGUCAUGUAGCGGUGAAAUGCUUAGAUAUGACAUAGAACACCAAUUGCGAAGGCAGCUUACUACACAGUUAUUGACACUGAGGCACGAAAGCGUGGGGAUCAAACAGG